This 226-nucleotide unclassified non-coding RNA is filed under the name Basidiomycota sp. RNAcentral describes it as "partial contains small subunit ribosomal RNA, internal transcribed spacer 1, and 5.8S ribosomal RNA". The stretch from base 1 to 47 matches the Rfam family "Eukaryotic small subunit ribosomal RNA", at positions 1785 to 1831 of the family's 1831-position model. The record is from RNAcentral. Lineage: Eukaryota; Fungi; Basidiomycota.
AAAGUCGUAACAAGGUCUCCGUAGGUGAACCUGCGGGGGGAUCAUCAAAGAAUUUUACACUUGCCAAGUUGUGGUUCUUCGGAAACAUGGCUUGGUACAAACAAACGAUCACAACUAUAUAAGAAAGGGGGGAAGCUGAAGAAAUACAAGUGUUUGCCUGAUAAAUAAGAUUGACUUGGAAAUCUAACAAUCUAUACAACUUUCAACAACGGAUCUCUUGGCUCUC